AAUUUAUUAAACAUUUUCGACCUUAUUAAUCGUUAAAAGAUGAGUUUGUGUAAGAUUAGGUUGUUGGUAGAAGUAAUAGUUUACCAAGCCUUUGAUCUUUAGUUGGUCUUAGAGGACGUACAACCACACUGGAACUGAGACAAGGUCCAGGCUAUCAUUAGCCAGCAGUGAGGAAUAUUGGACAAUGGGUUAGCGCCUGAUCCAGCCAUCCCGCGUGAAGGACGACUGCCCUAUGGGUUGUAAA
This 244-nucleotide ribosomal RNA is filed under the name Thalassiosira minuscula. Its description in RNAcentral is "partial Bacterial small subunit ribosomal RNA". It matches the Rfam family "Bacterial small subunit ribosomal RNA", at positions 195 to 429 of the family's 1533-position model. Lineage: Eukaryota; Bacillariophyta; Thalassiosirophyceae; Thalassiosirales; Thalassiosiraceae. The record is from RNAcentral.